GGCAGUGCGGACCAGAGAGAGGAGUUGUUGCCCGCAGGGUGCCCUUUGAAGACUGCCUUUGCCACCAUCUGCAGCGCGUGGGGCAAGAUAUUAGAAUGGCAUCAGUGUUUGCUUUCACUAAGAGGAAGCGGAGUCCUGGGAGAAAGAGCCGCAGCCUGUGAUUGCACAGCCUUCCCUUGAUGGUACCUUUACCCUGGCAUGUGAGCUAUCAGCCGACUGGGGAUGCUUUCAAAUGAGACAGGAAACAGUUUAGGUGACAAUGAGAAACUCUGGUCUCAGUGGGAUGGAAAUAGAGCCUGGAAGAAAUGGGAAACUUUAAUAUCUGGAUGGAUUCCUUAAACAGGUAACAGAAACUAUAGCCUGAAAGCCAAACUGAUUUUGAUUGACAAGAACCGGACUUUAAGGGGGAAAUAAUAAAAUACAUUCUUAGGGACUAAAGAAGAUGGGGCUUGACUAUGAAGAACUAAGCUUAGAACACUAUGCACGAGAUUUGUACCAAACACAUUAAAGGAAAAAGAAAAUCUAGACGACAUCAUAAUUUCCCCGCCACGCAAAAAAGAAAUGUGAAGGUAGAAUUCGGCUGAUUUGAGAAUGCUGGGGGAAGACGGAAAUGUGCGUGCUCUGCAUGCCCCAGAAAUCUUCACACCUUUUACUCCUUAUCCACUGAAUGCUAGGGAAGAAGAAGAAGAUGGAACAGAUACUUCGAGGGGAUCCAGCAGCAGGAA
This 725-nucleotide long non-coding RNA is filed under the name Homo sapiens (human). RNAcentral's name for it is "HSALNT0338349". Lineage: Eukaryota; Metazoa; Chordata; Mammalia; Primates; Hominidae. The record is from RNAcentral.